RNAcentral lists this ribosomal RNA (464 nucleotides) under uncultured bacterium. RNAcentral describes it as "SSU rRNA". It matches the Rfam family "Bacterial small subunit ribosomal RNA", at positions 26 to 523 of the family's 1533-position model. The record is from RNAcentral.
AGAACGAACGCUGGCGGCAGGCUUAACACAUGCAAGUCGAGCGCUCGCAGCAAUGCGGGAGCGGCAGACGGGUGAGUAACGCGUGGGAACAUACCCUUCGGUUCGGAAUAGCUCAGGGAAACUUGAAUUAAUACCGGAUACGGCCAGAAGUGAAAAUUUCUGGCGAAAGAUUUAUCGCCGAAGGAUUGGCCCGCGUUCGAUUAGCUAGUUGGUGAGGUAACGGCUCACCAAGGCGACGAUCGAUAGCUGGUCUGAGAGGAUGAUCAGCCACAUUGGGACUGAGACACGGCCCAAACUCCUACGGGAGGCAGCAGUGGGGAAUAUUGGACAAUGGGCGCAAGCCUGAUCCAGCCAUGCCGCGUGAGUGAUGACGGCCUUAGGGUUGUAAAGCUCUUUCGCUAGGGACGAUAAUGACGGUACCUAGACAAGAAGCCCGGCUAACUUCGUGCCAGCAGCCGCGGUAA